CGCCAAUCGGCGCCCGCCGUUCCUUGAGCGGCGUGUGCUGUCGGCCAAUCGGAGCGCGGCGCGAGGUUACCCCAGAGACGCGCGGGACACGCCCCCCUAAGCUCUGAUUGGCCGCGCGGCGCCACGCGAGGGGCGGUGAUUGGCUGCGGGGGCGGAGGGCCCCGCCCCGAGGCGAUCACGUGAGCGCGGCGGGCCGGCGGCGGCAGCGGAGCGGGCGCCAUGAAGCACUACGAGGUGAGGCGGCACCGCCGGGCCCGGGCCUGCACCCGGUUCUCCCCGCGCUGCCGCCCUCCGCCCGGCCCUGAGCCGCGCCGCUCCCGGGGCUGCGCCCGGGGUUGGGGGAGGUCAGGGUCGGGGUCGCCGCGGCCGUACUGCGCACGCGUUGUCCCUCAGGGGGCAGCGGCACCGCGCAUGCGUGCGGCCUGUGGGGGCGGGAGGAGAGUGCGCAUGUGCGCAGCGACGGGAGGGGCGGGGGGAGCGAACGCGCAUGCGUGCGGCGCCGCGGGGCUGUGCGUGCGCAUGCGCGCCGGGCCCGAUGCGAUGGAGCGCGCAUGCGCAGUGCGCGGUCCGUGCGGCCUGGGGGUGUGCGCGCGUGCGGUUUGCUGGGCACGUCGUGCGCAUGCGCAGUGCGGAGCCCUGGGCCCACCGUGUGUCCCCGUUGGGGUGACGCGGGCUGUCACGGCCUGCUGUACCCCCCCCCAAGGGUGACACCCCCCUGUCCCCAGGGCUGUGACACCCCCCUGCCCCCCCCAUAGGGUGACACAGCCCCACCAGCAGCGCACUGCCGGAGGGGUGACAACCCCAAUGUCCCCAGCGGGGUGUCGGGGGGGAGUGGGGGGGCGACACGUCCCCAACGGGGUGACACAACACCACGUCCCCACCAGAGCGUCCCCUGUCUCCACCAGGGUGACAGCACCGGUCCCCAGCAGGGUGACACGACCCCCACGUCCCCAGCAGGGUGACAGCGGUGACACCCCACUGUCCCCCCCGCCUUGUCACAGGGGUGGCGCAUCCCCUGCCCCAAUGGGGUGACAGCGACCCCCAACCCCUAUGGGGUGAAAGAGACCCCUGACCCCAAUGGGGUGAAAGGGACCCUCGACCCCAAUGGAGUGAAAGGGACCUUUGACCUCAAUGGGGUGAAAGGGACCCCCAACCCAAUGGGGUGACAGAGACCCCCAACCCCAAUGGGGUGAAAGGGACCCCUGACCCCAAUGGGGUGAAAGGAACCCCUGACCCCAAUGGAGUGAAAGGGACCCCCAAGCCAAUGGGGUGAAAGGGACCCCUGACCCCAAUGGGAUGACAGGGACCCCCAAUCCAAUGGGGUGACACCGACCCCCAACCCCUAUGGGGUGAAAGAGACCCCUGACCCCAAUGGGGUGACAGGGACCCCCAACCCCAGUGGGGUGAAAGAGACCCCCAACCCCAGUGGGGUGAAAGGGACCCCUGACCCCAACGGGGUGAAAGGGACCCCCGAUCUGAAUGGGGUGAAAGAGAUCCCUGACCCCAAUGGGGUGACAGAGACCCCCAACCCCAAUGGGGUGAAAGGGACCCCCGACCCCAAUUAGGAGACACCGACCCCAAUGGUGUGACGCAGCCCCCGUCCCCACCACCACGUCCCCAAAUCCCCCCCCCGGGGGGGCUUCACCCCCUCCCCUCCCCCCCAGAUGCCACCUGGAUGCCACCAAGAAGUCACUCAGAUGCCACCAACCCCCCCCGAACCUUUUGUACCCCCCCCCCAAUUCCCCCACGCUCCGUACCCCACGCAGCCUUACCUCCCGCUCCCCCAUCCCCCAUCUCAGCCACCCUCAACUGCCACCUGUCCCCAAAUGCCACCUCCCC
This 1839-nucleotide long non-coding RNA is filed under the name Gallus gallus (chicken). The record is from RNAcentral. Lineage: Eukaryota; Metazoa; Chordata; Aves; Galliformes; Phasianidae.